CCUACGGGAGGCAGCAGUUAGGAAUCUUGCGCAAUGGGCGAAAGCCUGACGCAGCGACGCCGCGUGCGGGAUGACGGCCUUCGGGUUGUAAACCGCUUUCAGCAGGGACGAUUAUGACGGUACCUGCAGAAGAAGCCCCGGCCAACUACGUGCCAGCAGCCGCGGUAAUACGUAGGGGGCAAGCGUUGUCCGGAUUUAUUGGGCGUAAAGAGCUCGUAGGCGGUUUGGUAAGUCGGGUGUGAAAUCUCCACGCUCAACGUGGAGGGGCCACUCGAUACUGCCAUGACUCGAGUCCGGUAGAGGAGUGUGGAAUUCCCGGUGUAGCGGUGAAAUGCGCAGAUAUCGGGAGGAACACCCGUAGCGAAGGCGGCACUCUGGGCCGGAACUGACGCUGAGGAGCGAAAGCGUGGGGAGCAAACAGGAUUAGAUACCCUGGUAGUCCACGCCGUAAACGUUGGGCACUAGGUGUGGGGAUCUAUCGACGGUUUCCGUGCCGAAGCUAACGCAUUAAGUGCCCCGCCUGGGGAGUACGGCCGCAAGGCUAAAACUCAAAUGAAUUGACGGCUGAACGCGCGACGACGACACGAGGAGGUAG
RNAcentral lists this ribosomal RNA (595 nucleotides) under uncultured bacterium. Its description in RNAcentral is "bacterial SSU rRNA". It matches the Rfam family "Bacterial small subunit ribosomal RNA", at positions 338 to 948 of the family's 1533-position model. The record is from RNAcentral.